RNAcentral lists this ribosomal RNA (1490 nucleotides) under Lactiplantibacillus plantarum. RNAcentral's name for it is "partial 16S ribosomal RNA". It matches the Rfam family "Bacterial small subunit ribosomal RNA". Lineage: Bacteria; Bacillati; Bacillota; Bacilli; Lactobacillales; Lactobacillaceae. The record is from RNAcentral.
UGCUCAGGACGAACGCUGGCGGCGUGCCUAAUACAUGCAAGUCGAACGAACUCUGGUAUUGAUUGGUGCUUGCAUCAUGAUUUACAUUUGAGUGAGUGGCGAACUGGUGAGUAACACGUGGGAAACCUGCCCAGAAGCGGGGGAUAACACCUGGAAACAGAUGCUAAUACCGCAUAACAACUUGGACCGCAUGGUCCGAGCUUGAAAGAUGGCUUCGGCUAUCACUUUUGGAUGGUCCCGCGGCGUAUUAGCUAGAUGGUGGGGUAACGGCUCACCAUGGCAAUGAUACGUAGCCGACCUGAGAGGGUAAUCGGCCACAUUGGGACUGAGACACGGCCCAAACUCCUACGGGAGGCAGCAGUAGGGAAUCUUCCACAAUGGACGAAAGUCUGAUGGAGCAACGCCGCGUGAGUGAAGAAGGGUUUCGGCUCGUAAAACUCUGUUGUUAAAGAAGAACAUAUCUGAGAGUAACUGUUCAGGUAUUGACGGUAUUUAACCAGAAAGCCACGGCUAACUACGUGCCAGCAGCCGCGGUAAUACGUAGGUGGCAAGCGUUGUCCGGAUUUAUUGGGCGUAAAGCGAGCGCAGGCGGUUUUUUAAGUCUGAUGUGAAAGCCUUCGGCUCAACCGAAGAAGUGCAUCGGAAACUGGGAAACUUGAGUGCAGAAGAGGACAGUGGAACUCCAUGUGUAGCGGUGAAAUGCGUAGAUAUAUGGAAGAACACCAGUGGCGAAGGCGGCUGUCUGGUCUGUAACUGACGCUGAGGCUCGAAAGUAUGGGUAGCAAACAGGAUUAGAUACCCUGGUAGUCCAUACCGUAAACGAUGAAUGCUAAGUGUUGGAGGGUUUCCGCCCUUCAGUGCUGCAGCUAACGCAUUAAGCAUUCCGCCUGGGGAGUACGGCCGCAAGGCUGAAACUCAAAGGAAUUGACGGGGGCCCGCACAAGCGGUGGAGCAUGUGGUUUAAUUCGAAGCUACGCGAAGAACCUUACCAGGUCUUGACAUACUAUGCAAAUCUAAGAGAUUAGACGUUCCCUUCGGGGACAUGGAUACAGGUGGUGCAUGGUUGUCGUCAGCUCGUGUCGUGAGAUGUUGGGUUAAGUCCCGCAACGAGCGCAACCCUUAUUAUCAGUUGCCAGCAUUAAGUUGGGCACUCUGGUGAGACUGCCGGUGACAAACCGGAGGAAGGUGGGGAUGACGUCAAAUCAUCAUGCCCCUUAUGACCUGGGCUACACACGUGCUACAAUGGAUGGUACAACGAGUUGCGAACUCGCGAGAGUAAGCUAAUCUCUUAAAGCCAUUCUCAGUUCGGAUUGUAGGCUGCAACUCGCCUACAUGAAGUCGGAAUCGCUAGUAAUCGCGGAUCAGCAUGCCGCGGUGAAUACGUUCCCGGGCCUUGUACACACCGCCCGUCACACCAUGAGAGUUUGUAACACCCAAAGUCGGUGGGGUAACCUUUUAGGAACCAGCCGCCUAAGUGGGACAGAUGAUUA